UCAAGGAAAAAUAAUAGCAGCUACUUUGUCAAUGGUAAAAUUAUGGAAGCAAUGAUAACAAUGAAAUGAUAGCAAAUAAGAAGUCAAUUCCAUAAUGAUAAGGAUAGUUAGAAUGAAGGUGGCAAUGGCAUAGGAUUCCAAGACAUGUUGUAACAAACAUUCUCACAUAAAAAUUCAAGUUCGGUCAUCAUUAUAUAUAACAAUAAAUGUAGCAGGUAACUGCAACCCCAUUAACAGGGAAAACCUUGUAUUCAUAAACUCAGAUUCAAUAACUAGAAGGAGAAGCAUGUCAAAGAUGAGAAGACAAAUCGUUGUCCUUAUUCUCUUUACACUCAUGAUGAUUUCAGAUUCUGCACUGAAUCAUGUUACUGCUAAUGCUCAGGAUAUUCAGCCAGUUCAGUUCAAGCUAAAAACCCUACAGACUAUCCCACGUAGUGAACAUAUAACUUCAUGGGGUGAAGAAAAGAGGACUCACAGAAAGCACCCAUCAGGGCCUAACCCAGUAGGGAAUCACCUCCCACCGACUAAACCAUAGAGAUGUAAAUUGGAGCCACUCCUUUGGAAUCAGUUUUCAGUAGAGACAUCAAUGCUCGCUCUUACUUCCGAGUUUCGACUAAGAGGGGAUCAAAACAUUUAUGUACACUGGAAAUUUCUUUUAGAAACAUUGUGCCUGUAAAAUAUCCACUAGUGUAUGUUGGGAAAUAGGCAGUGCCAUUAGCACCAUUGUACCAGGCACUACUAGUAGGGAUUGGACUUAAGCUAUUCUACCUGAUUUUACAGCUCUGAUCUUUCUAUCUGCAGGACUCCUUUCGUCCACUAGUUCUAAACUAUACAAUCAGUUUCAUGUUAAAUUUAUAAUAAAAUACGGUCAUCCUUCAAAUAA
This is a non-coding RNA of Arachis ipaensis, 883 nucleotides long. The record is from RefSeq and is a predicted model, not a curated record. NCBI's taxonomy places the organism in Eukaryota, Viridiplantae, Streptophyta, Magnoliopsida, Fabales, Fabaceae.